Molecule: ribosomal RNA, 253 nt
Filed under: uncultured bacterium
Lineage: Bacteria
Description: partial 16S ribosomal RNA
Rfam family: Bacterial small subunit ribosomal RNA
Source: RNAcentral
UACGGAGGGUGCAAGCGUUACUCGGAAUCACUGGGCGUAAAGAGCGCGUAGGCGGGAUAGCAAGUCAGAUGUGAAAUCCUAUGGCUUAACCAUAGAACUGCAUUUGAAACUGCCAUGCUGGAGUGCCGGAGAGGUAAGCGGAAUUCCUAGUGUAGCGGUGAAAUGCGUAGAUAUUAGGAGGAACACCAGUGGCGAAGGCGGCCUGCUGGACGACAACUGACGGUGAGGCGCGAAAGCGUGGGGAGCAAACAGG